This 219-nucleotide long non-coding RNA is filed under the name Elaeis guineensis (African oil palm). RNAcentral's name for it is "long non-coding RNA (EGUI_LNC049196)". Lineage: Eukaryota; Viridiplantae; Streptophyta; Magnoliopsida; Arecales; Arecaceae. The record is from RNAcentral.
GCCUCUGUGGAUCGUCCACACGAAGCUCCCGAUCUGAUCGACUCCUCACGAGUGCUAGCUCGUUGUAGAGCCCUUUCGAAGGCCGAUGCUGAUCGAACUCCUUCGAUCGAUGUCUAUCGAUUCUUUGGAUACUCCAGAUCAUCAAUAGACAUGCUUGAGAGGAUGUUGAAGAUCAUUUUGAAAUUUGGUGGGCUCACGACACUCGUAGCUCACCUUCUC